This 106-nucleotide microRNA precursor is filed under the name Zea mays. Its description in RNAcentral is "mir-395 microRNA precursor family". It matches the Rfam family "mir-395 microRNA precursor family". From Rfam's summary of the family: mir-395 was identified in both Arabidopsis thaliana and Oryza sativa computationally and was later experimentally verified. mir-395 is thought to target mRNAs coding for ATP sulphurylases. The mature sequence is excised from the 3' arm of the hairpin. Lineage: Eukaryota; Viridiplantae; Streptophyta; Magnoliopsida; Poales; Poaceae. The record is from Rfam by way of RNAcentral.
AUGUUACCAUGAGUUCCCUUCAAAUACUUCACAUGAGGCGCCAUUCAAAUAACUCAUUUCAAGAUUAUGUGUAAUGCGAAGUGUUUGGGGGAACACUUGGUGACAC